This 774-nucleotide ribosomal RNA is filed under the name uncultured Neocallimastigales. RNAcentral describes it as "partial large subunit ribosomal RNA". It matches the Rfam family "Eukaryotic large subunit ribosomal RNA", at positions 22 to 646 of the family's 3401-position model. The record is from RNAcentral. Lineage: Eukaryota; Fungi; Neocallimastigomycota; Neocallimastigomycetes; Neocallimastigales.
GUACACGCUGUGACUAGCAUAUCAAUAAGCGGAGGAAAAGAAACUAACAAGGAUUCCCCUAGUAACGGCGAGUGAAGCGGGAAGAGCUCAAAUUUGAAAUCUUAAAGGGUUUCCCUUUACGAAUUGUAGUUUAAAGAAGUGUUUUCUGUUGAGGUUUUGGUAAAAGUUCUUUGGAAUAGGACAUCAUAGAGGGUGAGAAUCCCGUAUUUGACCUUUACUUUCAACUUUGUGAUACACUUUCAAAGAGUCGGAUUGUUUGGGAAUGCAGUCCAAAAUGGGUGGUAAAUUUCAUCUAAAGCUAAAUAUUGGCGAGAGACCGAUAGCGAACAAGUACCGUGAGGGAAAGAUGAAAAGAACUUUGAAAAGAGAGUUAAACAGUACGUGAAAUUGUCAAAAGGGAAGCGUUUGACACCAGUGUUGUUUUUCUGAAAAUCAAUUAAAGAACUGUUUAUGCUAAGUUGUUUAGACUUUAUCAGCUAACUGUUUAGUUUUGAGCUUUUCUUUAAUGCACUUUUCAGUUAACAAGUCAACAUCAAUUUCUUUUGCUGUAAAAAAGCUUGAGGAAGGUGGCUUGAGAUUCGUCUUAAGUGUUUAUAGCCUCUUGCCUAUGCAGUCGGAGAGAUUGAGGUCUGCAGCGUAGAUCCUUCGGGGCUAAAUGCAUUUGUGCUAAGUUAUAGCAUUUCAUAGACAACUUGUUGACUAUGAUUUGUCUUGUAGCUUACUCGCUUAUGUUAUUUUACCUACGCUUAGGAUGUUGACGAGACUGUCGAUCUC